This 73-nucleotide transfer RNA is filed under the name Marmota marmota marmota (Alpine marmot). It matches the Rfam family "tRNA". Rfam says of the family: Transfer RNA (tRNA) molecules are approximately 80 nucleotides in length. Their secondary structure includes four short double-helical elements and three loops (D, anti-codon, and T loops). RNAcentral also lists the same sequence under 1 other name. Lineage: Eukaryota; Metazoa; Chordata; Mammalia; Rodentia; Sciuridae. The record is from Rfam by way of RNAcentral.
GUGGAUGCAGCUCAGUGGUAGAGUACUUGCCUAGCAUGUGUGAGGCCCUGGGUUCCAGCCCCAGCAACACACA